CGGAAUGUGGCGUAGUUUGGUAGCGUAUUGUAUUUGGGAUGCAAUGGUCACAGGUUCGAAUCCUGUCAUUCCGA
Molecule: transfer RNA, 74 nt
Filed under: Euglena longa
Lineage: Eukaryota; Euglenozoa; Euglenophyceae; Euglenales; Euglenaceae
Description: transfer RNA-Pro (UGG)
Rfam family: tRNA
About the family: Transfer RNA (tRNA) molecules are approximately 80 nucleotides in length.
Source: RNAcentral